GAUCCUGGCUCAGAUUGAACGCUGGCGGCAGGCCUAACACAUGCAAGUCGAGCGGAUGAAGAGAGCUUGCUCUCUGAUUCAGCGGCGGACGGGUGAGUAAUGCCUAGGAAUCUGCCUGAUAGUGGGGGACAACGUUUCGAAAGGAACGCUAAUACCGCAUACGUCCUACGGGAGAAAGCAGGGGACCUUCGGCCGUUCGCGGCGUAUCAGAUGAGCCUAGUCGGAGUUAG
This 230-nucleotide ribosomal RNA is filed under the name uncultured bacterium. RNAcentral's name for it is "partial 16S ribosomal RNA". It matches the Rfam family "Bacterial small subunit ribosomal RNA", at positions 15 to 244 of the family's 1533-position model. The record is from RNAcentral.